Molecule: non-coding RNA, 100 nt
Organism: Chiloscyllium plagiosum (whitespotted bambooshark)
Lineage: Eukaryota; Metazoa; Chordata; Chondrichthyes; Orectolobiformes; Hemiscylliidae
Source: RefSeq, a predicted model, not a curated record
UGGGGGAAUGGUUGAAGGUAGUGGAGGGUGGGGGAAGGGUUGAGGGUAAAAGAGGGGUAAGAAUUGAACUGAGGAUAGAGAGGGGGAAGGGUCGAGGGUG